AUUGAACGCUGGCGGCAGGCCUAACACAUGCAAGUCGAACGGUAACAGGAAACAGCUUGCUGUUUCGCUGACGAGUGGCGGACGGGUGAGUAAUGUCUGGGAAACUGCCUGAUGGAGGGGGAUAACUACUGGAAACGGUAGCUAAUACCGCAUAACGUCGCAAGACCAAAGAGGGGGACCUUCGGGCCUCUUGCCAUCGGAUGUGCCCCGAUGGGAUUAGCUAGUAGGUGGGGUAACGGCUCACCUAGGCGACGAUCCCUAGCUGGUCUGAGAGGAUGACCGGCCACACUGGAACUGGGACACGGUCCAGACUCCUACGGGAGGCAGCAGUGGGGAAUAUUGCACCAUGGGCGCAAGCCUGAUGCAGCCAUGCCGCGUGUAUGAAGAAGGCCUUCGGGUUGUAAAGUACUUUCAGCGGGGAUGAAGGGAGUAAAGUUAAUACCUUUGCUCAUUGACGUUACCCUCAGAAGAAGCACCGGCUAACUCCGUG
RNAcentral lists this ribosomal RNA (490 nucleotides) under uncultured bacterium. RNAcentral's name for it is "partial 16S ribosomal RNA". It matches the Rfam family "Bacterial small subunit ribosomal RNA", at positions 30 to 507 of the family's 1533-position model. The record is from RNAcentral.